Long non-coding RNA from Temnothorax curvispinosus, 823 nucleotides. RefSeq lists it as uncharacterized. The record is from RefSeq and is a predicted model, not a curated record. The transcript has 4 exons. Lineage: Eukaryota; Metazoa; Arthropoda; Insecta; Hymenoptera; Formicidae.
UGCCGCGGUGGCGCAGUUUACGCUUUUCGUUGAUUGGAAUUCGUGUGACCUGUCGCAACAGACCGAACAGACCAACGGAAAGCCGGUUGUUACUUUUGUUACAUGCCAUUACAUGCGAUAAUAUGCGGCGUAGCUUUUCUCUCGAUACCUUUGCCGAUGCCGCCGUGUUGUAUCUCCUGAAAGAAAGGCUAACUGAGUAAAGGAAUCGUUUUCCUGAUCGCCGACAUGGAGCUCACCGACGACAAUUUGGUAACGUUGAGCGAAUAUCAGAAACACACACUCUCAGCCCAGACGUGAAUGUCAAACGUCCAGCCGAGAAAGUUUCUGGAGUCGGUGGAAGUCAAUCAGAAUUAUCCUUUACUACUACUUCAUUUGGUGGACAAAUCUGAGAUUAACAUCACGAUUAGGAUUGCCGGCGCAAUUUAAAAGAAUUAUGUUAAGCGCAACUGGAAAGUGGAGGAGGAUUCAGUGGAUCGUAUACAUGCCCAAGACAGAGAUGCCGUCAAGAAACUAAUCGUUAAUCUGAUGUUACAUUCACCAGAUUCGAUACAAAAGCAGUUGUCUGAUGCAGUAUCUAUUAUUGGAAAAUAUGACUUUCCGAACAAGUGGCCAGAAUUGAUUGAUCAGAUGGUAGAGAAGUUCAACACGCGAUUUUCAUGUGAUCAAUGGAGUCCUACACACGGCGCAUUCCUUAUUUAAGAGAUAUAGAUACGAAUUUAAAAGCGAGAGCCGCGGCAUCGGCAAAGGUUACAAUGAAUUUAACGCAAGUACAUGCUAAUAAUAUGGAAGCCUUGAAGGUUAUAUAUAAUUCCCUAGUUAUUUU